RNAcentral lists this unclassified non-coding RNA (337 nucleotides) under soil metagenome. RNAcentral describes it as "partial contains 5.8S ribosomal RNA, internal transcribed spacer 2, and large subunit ribosomal RNA". The stretch from base 1 to 120 matches the Rfam family "5.8S ribosomal RNA", at positions 35 to 154 of the family's 154-position model. The record is from RNAcentral.
GAUGAAGAACGUAGUGAAAUGCGAUAAGUAAUGUGAAUUGCAGAAUUCAGUGAAUCAUCGAAUCUUUGAACGCACAUUGCGCCCCUUGGUAUUCCGAGGGGCAUGCCUGUUCGAGCGUCAUUACACCACUCAAGCUAUGCUUGGUAUUGGGCGUCGUCCUUAGUUGGGCGCGCCUUAAAGACCUCGGCGAGGCCACUCCGGCUUUAGGCGUAGUAGAAUUUAUUCGAACGUCUGUCAAAGGAGAGGAACUCUGCCGACUGAAACCUUUAUUUUUCUAGGUUGACCUCGGAUCAGGUAGGGAUACCCGCUGAACUUAAGCAUAUCAAUAAGCGGAGGA